Molecule: ribosomal RNA, 253 nt
Filed under: uncultured bacterium
Lineage: Bacteria
Description: partial 16S ribosomal RNA
Rfam family: Bacterial small subunit ribosomal RNA
Source: RNAcentral
UACGAACCGUCCAAACGUUACUCGGAAUCACUGGGCUUAAAGGGUGCGUAGGCCGCGCGGAGGGUGGGAUGUGAAAUCCCCCGGCUCAACCGGGGAAUAGCGUCCCAAACCGCCGUGCUCGAGGGAGACAGAGGUGAGCGGAACUGAUGGUGGAGCGGUGAAAUGCGUUGAUAUCAUCAGGAACACCAGUGGCGAAAGCGGCUCACUGGCCCGAUACUGACGCUGAGGCACGAAAGCGUGGGGAGCAAACAGG